RNAcentral lists this long non-coding RNA (1039 nucleotides) under Rhagoletis pomonella (apple maggot). RNAcentral's name for it is "uncharacterized LOC118751480". The record is from RNAcentral. Lineage: Eukaryota; Metazoa; Arthropoda; Insecta; Diptera; Tephritidae.
CUGGACUAGCCAGCAUACAAGCGAAACAAAUAAAUUUUGAGGAGAGAAUGUGCAAUGUUGAGGCGGUAGAAAACCCCACAACUAAAGCAGCAAUAAUGACAACAACCAACUCGACUAUAACAGCAACAUUGUAAAAUAAUAAAUAGCAAAACGGCCGACUCUACUCGACAGCCAACCCAACACAGACAGACCUCGUUCGUACGACAGGUGCGUGCGUGUAAAUAAAGUCAAAGCCAACCAGACAUCAAUUCCAAUGGCCAGCUGCUGGUCAGGUGAGCGGCCAGUCGGCCUCAGUCCGCUAAGCAAUCAAACGGCCAGCCAGCCGGUCAGCAAGUUAAGCAUACGAACUUAAUACGAGCUAACUAAAGGUAUGCGGCCAACGAACAAAUGAACAAAUGAUUAAAUAACAACAAAGGCAACAACUAUAUAAAAGGCCACAACUAAAAUAGAGUGAGAAAAAACGAAUUGGAAAAAAUUAAUACUAAUCGAAAUAAACAGUGCCAACAAAUCAGCAGAAAUAAGGGAAAUCUGCGUAGACAGCGCGCGGUAGCAAAUGGAUUGAGUGAGUGACGCGUCGACUCAAGAUCGGCACGCGCAGCUUUAUGGUGUUGGUGCCACCACACCACUGUUGCCGAGGCUGAGGCGGAUGGCUGCUGCUAGUUCGGGCUAAUGCCGCUGCCGCUUGGAGAUGUUGGAUGGUGUCGUUGUCGUUGUCGUUGUCGCUGCUGGAGACGCUGAUGCUGAGGAUGGCAGCCGCAUAAAACUGGUAUGGUUGCAUUUUUGUGUAUACACGUUAUUAUUUACUCACAAUCAGUUUUUAAAUAUUUCGAAUUGUUCAGUAGUAAUCAACAAACAAACGGACAGUCAAACUUGUGAAAAAACGCAAAAAACACAAAAUUUAUGUUAAAUUUCAUUUGGCAUUUAGAAAUUGUGCGCUUGCAAAUUAAUAUUGAUAAAAAAUCCGAGAUUUUAUAUCUACUAAUUUAACGACGUAAACGAUAAAAAUAUGAGUGUUCCUAAAAAAUUUGGCGAUGUAUUA